This 406-nucleotide ribosomal RNA is filed under the name uncultured bacterium. Its description in RNAcentral is "partial 16S ribosomal RNA". It matches the Rfam family "Bacterial small subunit ribosomal RNA", at positions 30 to 526 of the family's 1533-position model. The record is from RNAcentral.
AUUGAACGCUGGCGGCAGGCUUAACACAUGCAAGUCGAACGAGUGGCGGACGGGUGAGUAAUGCUUGGGAAUCUAGCUUAUGGAGGGGGAUAACUACUGGAAACGGUAGCUAAUACCGCAUACCAUCGGAUGUGCCCAGAUGGGAUUAGCUAGUAGGUGGGGGAACGGCUCACCGAGGCGACGACCCCUAGCUGGUCUGAGAGGAUGACCAGCCACACGGGAACGGAGACACGGUCCAGACUCCUACGGGAGGGAUCAGUGGGGAAUAUUGCACUAGGGGCGAAAGCCUGAUGCAGCCAGGCCGCGUGUAUGAAGAAGGCCUUCGGGUUGUAAAGUACUUUCAGUCGGGAGGCGUUACCGACAGAAGAAGCACCGGCUAACUCCGUGCCAGCAGCCGCGGUAAUAC